This 446-nucleotide ribosomal RNA is filed under the name uncultured bacterium. RNAcentral describes it as "partial 16S ribosomal RNA". It matches the Rfam family "Bacterial small subunit ribosomal RNA", at positions 338 to 795 of the family's 1533-position model. The record is from RNAcentral.
CCUACGGGAGGCAGCAGUCGAGAAUCAUUCACAAUGGGGGAAACCCUGAUGGUGCGACGCCGCGUGGGGGAAUGAAGGUCUUCGGAUUGUAAACCCCUGUCAUGUGGGAGCAAAUUAAAAAGAUAGUACCACACGAGGAAGAGACGGCUAACUCGGUGCCAGCAGCCGCGGUAAUACAGAGGUCUCAAGCGUUGUUCGGAAUCACUGGGCGUAAAGCGUGCGGCGGCUGUUGCGUAAGUCGUGUGUGAAAGGCGCGGGCUCCACCCGCGGACGGCACAUGAUACUGCGGGACUAGAGUAAGGGAGGAGGAACCGGAAUUCUCGGUGUAGCAGUGAAAUGCGUAGAUAUCGAGCGGAACACUCGUGGCGAAGGCAGGUUCCUGGACAUUAACGGACGCUGAGGCACGAAGGCCAGGGGAGCGAAAGGGAUUAGAUACCCGGGUAGUC